Molecule: ribosomal RNA, 445 nt
Filed under: uncultured bacterium
Lineage: Bacteria
Description: partial 16S ribosomal RNA
Rfam family: Bacterial small subunit ribosomal RNA
Source: RNAcentral
GUAGGGAAUAUUGGGCAAUGGAGGCAACUCUGACCCAGCCAUGCCGCGUGCAGGAUGAAGGCCCUCUGGGUUGUAAACUGCUUUUAUCUGGGAAGAAACCUUUGGAUUCAUCUGAAGCUGACGGUACCAGAGGAAUAAGCACCGGCUAACUCCGUGCCAGCAGCCGCGGUAAUACGGAGGGUGCAAGCGUUAUCCGGAUUUACUGGGUUUAAAGGGUGCGCAGGCGGACUGUUAAGUCAGUGGUGAAAGCCCCGGGCUCAACCUGGGAAUUGCCAUUGAUACUGGCGGUCUUGAGUACAGUAGAGGUAGGCGGAAUGCAACAUGUAGCGGUGAAAUGCUUAGAUAUGUUGCAGAACACCGAUUGCGAAGGCAGCUUGCUAUGCUGUUACUGACGCUCAGGCACGAAAGCGUGGGGAUCAAACAGGAUUAGAAACCCGAGUAGUCC